This 447-nucleotide ribosomal RNA is filed under the name uncultured bacterium. RNAcentral describes it as "partial 16S ribosomal RNA". It matches the Rfam family "Bacterial small subunit ribosomal RNA", at positions 329 to 792 of the family's 1533-position model. The record is from RNAcentral.
GCCCAGACUCCUACGGGAGGCAGCAGUGGGGGAUAUUGCACAAUGGGGGGAACCCUGAUGCAGCGACGCCGCGUGGGUGAAGGAGCGUUUCGGCGCGUAAAGCCCUAUCGGCAGGGAAGAAGGAGGACGGUACCUGGCUAAGAAGCCCCGGCUAACUACGUGCCAGCAGCCGCGGUAAUACGUAGGGGGCAAGCGUUAUCCGGAUUUACUGGGUGUAAAGGGAGCGCAGGCGGCACGCUAAGCCUGAUGUGAAAACCCGCGGCCCAACCGCGGGAGUGCAUUGGGAACUGGCGAGCUAGAGUACCGGAGGGGCAGGCGGAAUUCCUAGUGUAGCGGUGAAAUGCGUAGAUAUUAGGAGGAACACCAGUGGCGAAGGCGGCCUGCUGGACGGAGACUGACGCUGAGGCUCGAAAGCGUGGGGAGCAAACAGGAUUAGAUACCCCAGUA